This 301-nucleotide ribosomal RNA is filed under the name uncultured bacterium. RNAcentral's name for it is "partial 16S ribosomal RNA". It matches the Rfam family "Bacterial small subunit ribosomal RNA", at positions 509 to 809 of the family's 1533-position model. The record is from RNAcentral.
CAGUCGCCGCGGUAACACGAAGGGUGCAGGCGUUAAUCGGAAUUACUGGGCGUAAGGCGUGCGUAGGCGGUGAGUUAAGUCUGCUGUGAAAUCCCCGGGCUCAACCUGGGAAUGGCAGUGGAUACUGGCUCGCUAGAGUGUGUCAGAGGAUGGUGGAAUUCCCGGUGUAGCGGUGAAAUGCGUAGAGAUCGGGAGGAACAUCAGUGGCGAAGGCGGCCAUCUGGGACAACACUGACGCUGAGGCACGGAAGCGUGGGGAGCAAACAGGAUUAGAUACCCCUGUAGUCCCUGUCUCUUAUAA